AGUUUGAUCAUGGCUCAGAUUGAACGCUGGCGGGAUGCUUUACACAUGCAAGUCGAACGGCAGCACGGACUUCGGUCUGGUGAAGAGUGGCGAACGGGUGAGUAAUGUAUCGGAACGUGCCUAGUAGCGGGGAUAACUACGCGAAAGCGUAGCCAAUACCGCAUACGCCCUUCGGGGAAAGCGGGGACCUUUCGGGCCUCGCACUAUUAGAGCGGCCGAUAUCGGAUUAGCUGCUGGUGUAAUUGCUCACCAAGGCGACGAUCCGUAGCUGUCGAGAGGACGACCAGCCACACUGGACUGGAGACACGGCCCAGACUCCUACGGGAGGCGGCAGUGGGGAAUUUUGGACAAUGGGGAAUCCCGAUCCAGCCAUCCUGCGUGUGUGAUGAAGGCCUGCCAGGAAGCACUUUUGGCAGGAAAGAAACGGCACUGGAUAGACACCUCGUGCAACUGACGGUAUUCAACAGCGCAUCACAACUACGCCAGCAGCUGCGAAUACGUAGGGUGCAAGGAAAGACCGGAAUUACUGGGCGUAAAAGUGCAUAGUUCGAAAGAAAGAUGUGAAAUCCCAGAGCUAACUUUGGAACCGGGCCUAACUACCGAGCGAGUAAGUCAGAGGGAGGUGGAAUUCCGCGUGGUAGCAGUGAAAUGCGUAGAUAUGCGGAGGAACACCGAUGCGAAGUGCAGCCCCAUGGGGAUACACUGACGCUCACGCAUCGCAAGUGCGGGAGCAAACAGGAUUAGAUACCCGGGUAGUCCACACCAAACGAGUCAACUAGCUUUCGCUAGCCUUCGGCCUUAUAGCGCAGCUAACGCGUGAAGUUGACCGCCCGGGGAGCAUUGGUCGCAAGAUUAAAACUCAAAGGAAUUGACGGGGACUCCGCACAAAGCGGUGGAUGAGCGUGAUUAAUUCGAUGCAACGCGAAAAACCUUACUCACUCUUGACAUGUCUGGAAUCCCGAAGAGAUUUGGAGUGCUCGCAAGAGAACCGGAACACAUGCGUACGGCUGUCGUCAGCUCGUGUCGUGAGAUGUUGCUGAGUCCUGCAACGAGCGCAACCUCGUCAUUAGCGCGUGAAAGGGCACCACGAGACUGCCGUGGUGAUAAACCGGAGGAAGGUGGGGAUGACGCUGUCCUCAUGGCCUCGGCGGGCAGGGCUUCACACGUCAUAAUGGUCGGCACAGAGGGUCGCCAACCGCAGAGGGGAGCCAAUCCCAGAAACCCGAUCGUAGUCCGGAUCGCAGUCUGCAACUCGACUGCGUGAAGUCGGAAUCGCUAGUAAUCGCGGAUCAGCAUGUCGCGGUGAAUACGUUCCCGGUCUGUACACACCGCCCGUCACAUCAUGGGAGUGGUUUUACCAGAAGUAAAGGCCUGAAACCGUAAGGAGGGCGAUUACCACGGUAGGAUUCAUGACUGGGGUGAAGUCGUAACAAGGUAG
Molecule: ribosomal RNA, 1438 nt
Filed under: uncultured Bordetella sp.
Lineage: Bacteria; Pseudomonadati; Pseudomonadota; Betaproteobacteria; Burkholderiales; Alcaligenaceae
Description: partial 16S-23S ribosomal RNA intergenic spacer
Rfam family: Bacterial small subunit ribosomal RNA
Source: RNAcentral